GAUGAACGCUGGCGGCGUGCCUAAUACAUGCAAGUCGAGCGAACAGAUGAGGAGCUUGCUCCUCUGACGUUAGCGGCGGACGGGUGAGUAACACGUGGAUAACCUACCUAUAAGACUGGGAUAACUUCGGGAAACCGGAGCUAAUACCGGAUAAUAUAUUGAACCGCAUGGUUCAAUAGUGAAAGACGGUUUUGCUGUCACUUAUAGAUGGAUCCGCGCCGCAUUAGCUAGUUGGUAAGGUAACGGCUUACCAAGGCAACGAUGCGUAGCCGACCUGAGAGGGUGAUCGGCCACACAGGAACUGAGACACGGUCCAGACUACUACGGGAGGCAGCAGUAGGGAAUCUUCCGCAAUGGGCGAAAGCCUGACGGAGCAACGCCGCGUGAGUGAUGAAGGUCUUCGGAUCGUAAAACUCUGUUAUUAGGGAAGAACAAAUGUGUAAGUAACUAUGCACGUCUUGACGGUACCUAAUCAGAAAGCCACGGCUAACUACGUG
This 497-nucleotide ribosomal RNA is filed under the name uncultured bacterium. Its description in RNAcentral is "partial 16S ribosomal RNA". It matches the Rfam family "Bacterial small subunit ribosomal RNA", at positions 28 to 507 of the family's 1533-position model. The record is from RNAcentral.